Molecule: non-coding RNA, 505 nt
Organism: Pogona vitticeps (central bearded dragon)
Lineage: Eukaryota; Metazoa; Chordata; Lepidosauria; Squamata; Agamidae
Source: RefSeq, a predicted model, not a curated record
GUUGGCUGUGGAGAAAAAAUUGGGGAAGGCUUGAGGAAGAGCUGCCUUUGUUUCCAAAGGAACCACAGGAGGAACGCUGGGCAGCCCCGCAGGCAGAGAGUCACAGGGCUGAAGGGAGAUGAACGAAACAGGGAACCAGGAUCGCCUAACCCUGACUGAGGGAAGACUAAAUGAAAGAAGCAGAGGAACAGAAUUUUUAAAAAAAAUAGCAUCAUGUGUCAGUUCUGGAGGCUGUUAUCUUUUGCAAAGAUGCCUUGUCAGAAGGAUGAUAACCUGCAUGCAUUCCUGCAUAAGUAAACUGAUAAGAAAAUCCACAAGUGAAUAAAGCAGAAGACCUGCACAAUGCUUUUUAAUUAUACGAGCCUUCUCUGAUCCUGAUAGUAUACUUCCCCUCUCCUCUGUCUCUCUGUGUCUUUUUGUUGACACUCUUCACUGCCCAUCAAACCGUGGGCAGGAUAUCGUGGCUGUAGAAGUCUGAAUUGAUCACACGCAGAGCAAAGCUUGA